CACAGUGAAUUAUCACCCUGAAUGUGCCCAAUCCCAUCACAUUUCAGAACCAGGAUGGAGCCUGGUUAGUACUUGGAUGGUGGACUGUACAGGAAUAUAAGGUGUUUGUUGGCU
Molecule: ribosomal RNA, 114 nt
Filed under: Petromyzon marinus (sea lamprey)
Lineage: Eukaryota; Metazoa; Chordata; Hyperoartia; Petromyzontiformes; Petromyzontidae
Source: RNAcentral